UACGGAGGGUGCAAGCGCUGUUCGGAAUCAUUGGGCGUAAAGCGCGUGUAGGCGGCCUGGUAAGUCGGGUGUGAAAUCCCGGGGCUCAACCCCGGAACUGCAUUCGAAACUGCCUCGCUAGAGUCCCGGAGAGGAAGGCGGAAUUCCCGGUGUAGAGGUGAAAUUCGUAGAUAUCGGGAGGAACACCAGCGGCGAAGGCGGCCUUCUGGACGGUGACUGACGCUGAGACGCGAAAGCGUGGGGGACAAACAGG
This 253-nucleotide ribosomal RNA is filed under the name uncultured bacterium. RNAcentral describes it as "partial 16S ribosomal RNA". It matches the Rfam family "Bacterial small subunit ribosomal RNA", at positions 524 to 776 of the family's 1533-position model. The record is from RNAcentral.